GGAGAAGUACUCAAGUUGGUGACGAGGCGCCCCUGCUAAGGGCGUAGGUCGGGCAACCGGCGCGCGGGUUCGAGUCCCGCCUUCUCCGCCA
Molecule: transfer RNA, 91 nt
Filed under: Clostridiales bacterium
Lineage: Bacteria; Bacillati; Bacillota; Clostridia; Eubacteriales
Description: tRNA-Ser
Rfam family: tRNA
About the family: Transfer RNA (tRNA) molecules are approximately 80 nucleotides in length. Their secondary structure includes four short double-helical elements and three loops (D, anti-codon, and T loops).
Source: RNAcentral